CGAAAAUGUCUCCAGGCACUGCCAAAUGUCCCCCGGGGGUAAAGUCACCCCGGUUGACAAAGCCGGCUCUCUGCUUUGCAGCCCCAAGGCCCCCGAGCUGCUUCUCUGAGCUGCUUUCCUGUGCGCACCCCUGUAAAACAGUCACCUUUUUUGGGCAGGACGCUCUGGCCCAGAGAGGCUGGUUGACUUGCCAGAUUUUGCUUUCUGUGACUGACGUAAAGCAUCUUCCAUCUUUGUUCCAGUUACCUGGCUUAGCUCUUCCCUGCCUUGUACUCCCCAGAACAGGUGUGUUUAUGUGCACACAUCUGCCUCACUCCACUCAGUGCCCUGUCACAUUUCGUCCCAAUCUGUUCCCCUUCCUUCAGUCCUGCACGGAAAGCACCAUGGGACAUACCUGUGUGUGCCCAGCAGUGUCCCCAGUUCAGAAGGCAGUCAAGGCAGACAACAGAGUCUUCCACACUCCUCCAGUCAGGCUGGGUGGGAAUUGCUCUGUGCAGUGUCACGACCACAAUCUGAGUGAACAUCGACAAAGCCCCCUUAGCAGCUAAUUAGCCCUGCCAUGCACGGUGGGUAUCGUUUAUCGUCUGGCUAUGCACCAGUCUUUCCUCCCUGCCUGGAAGACCCAGCGGCUGUCACUGUGAUUGUCUGCACUGCUGUUGUAGUGACAGGAGGUUUGGUGGUUUGGUGCAGAACAGGUGCCCCGGGUUCAGCAAGCUGGGCCAGACCAAGGUCGAGAGAUACCUCAGAGAAGUCUGAGAGGUGGCAGGUGCAGACGUGAGGGUGUUCUUAGACUAGAUCAGCCAGAGGCCUCACAGAGUUAGGCAGGCCUGAACUUCCCACCCCUCGCCUGUGAAGCUUCUGCCCUCCCAGCUAUGAACUGAGGAAGGCCCUGCUUCCUGAUACCGGCUCGGGCAGCAUGGGCUGCCGCCCGGCACACGAGGUACCCAUUCUGUCCUUGGGGUUCCUGAGCCUGGAGACCAGGACAUCGUCUGUCUGGCUCACUGCUGUCUCCACUGUUGGUUAAUACCUAUUUGUUAAAUGAUUGAAAACAUGUCAGCCACUUGAUAGGAUAAGCCAGCCUGGUUGAUGUGGGUGCUGUCUGAGGCUCCAGAGUUGAUUGUGACCCUUUCAGUCUUGUUCCGACCUCUGAGAUUGCAUGUGGAAGCCAAACAGGAUUUUGCUCUGUUCAAAUUAAUUUCUCAAGGACGGGGUUUAUCAAAAGUCCUUCCUGUUUGAAUCCUCUCCUCUGGGAAGGCUUCUCCUUCGGCAUAUGUCCCCAGUGGACAGUCCUCAUCUCCCAGUCGCUCCAGCCGGGGCAGGCCCAGGUCUCCAGGCUUCUCUGGCUGCUCAGGGAUGACCUGUGUGCAUGCUUCUUUCAAAGGCUAACACAAAAGCAGGGGAGGAGACAGGCCUUGAGGUGAGGAAAUUUGUCCAAAGGCCCCCAGCAAGUCAGAGGAAGGGCUAGAAUCUGGCUCUUCAGGCCCUCCUAGAGCACUGUCACUGCAUCAUGUGGCCUUUGUAAGUGACAGGCAGCUGGAGACAAGUUUUCAUCAGAAAAGUGGCCAGAUGUUAGGCAUUGUCUGCACCACUAAAAAGCAGCUCCAGGAACAGAUGCCCACGUCGUAGCAGACCAACUAGGACGUGCUACGGAAGCCAGCAAGAGUGUGGGGAGCCUGGAGGAGGAAAGAGGAAAAGGCAAGAACAGGCCGUAUGCCCGCAGAGGCCACGUCCCCUGGGCACAAGCAAGGAAAAGACCCCAGCCUGUGCCAAGAACCAAGAACCAAGAAGCAUGCCUGGUGAUUCCUAUUUCCUGCGUGCAGCCUGGGCUCCCUGGCUCAUCUCUUCCUGGAAGGUCUUGGAAGUGAGGUGAUUGGACAAGGAAAGGCACUUCGCUGCAGCAUCUGGAAGGCUUCAUUCAUUUGCCCAUUCAGUGGACAUUUGCUGUGCGCUAGGUCUGGGAGGAAGGAAAUGAGAAGACUGAAGCUCAGAGAGUUUACAUGACUUCCUCCAUGUCUCACUGCAAGUGAAGAAACAGGCUGCAGAUGAAGAGCUGAAACCACAAUCUUAGAGGGGCUGGUUGUCUCCCCAGCUGCACUGUGGCGUUCUCAAGGUAGACAUCUCAGGGGCAACACAGCGACAUGGAAAAGAGCUUACUGGGACCAGGCUGCCUGCGUUCAGCCGCGAGGUUAUUACCUGUGGUGACCUGGGGUAAGUCAGUCAGCCCUUCAGUGCCUCAGUUUCCCUAUCUGGAAAAUGGCAAUAACCACAGUUGUUGUGAAGAUUGACUACGACGAUCCACAUGAAGGCCUCAGUACGGUGUGUGACACACAGCAGUGUUCGUGAAAGAGUAGCUAGUAUUAACAGCCACAUCUCCUGGUUCUCUUGUGAACCCCCGUGGGUCCAGCAUUGGCACACAGCACACAGGAAGGUUCAGUGUUUGCUGCUUCACUAGGAGCCUUUCAGGAAGUGUGGUCAUAAGAAGUGAGAGGUGAUUUACAAGUGGCACAGCAUCUGUCACAAGGGCUUUAUUUGCACAAUAAAUGCUACCAGACAUGUAAGAUAUGCUUAUGAGCAUGUCUUUUGUAAUCAGCACCCUCUAGAAAGUUCCCCUCCCCUAAUGCUCCUGGCCUUGGCUGUGGCCACACCCACUGCCCAAGUGAGCAGUGUCAGCUGUCGGCUGUCCUCUUUCUUCCGGAUUAGGCUCCUCUACAGGGAUCUUCCCAUGGUUAUACAUUUGGAGAAUUGGAGAAUGCUUCACAAACACUUCCAAAUGUCUCAUAGCAAUGAGAGGCCAGUGCAAAGGGUAGAGGGAGCUCUCCUCUGCCACAGAAAUCAGAGCUGG
This 2842-nucleotide long non-coding RNA is filed under the name Equus asinus (donkey). Its description in RNAcentral is "lncRNA (ENSEASG00005026050.1)". Lineage: Eukaryota; Metazoa; Chordata; Mammalia; Perissodactyla; Equidae. The record is from RNAcentral.